UGUGCCUAUACUGCAAGUCGAGCGGACAGAAGGGAGCUUGCUCCCGGAUGUUAGCGGCGGACGGGUGAGUAACACGUGGGUAACCUGCCUGUAAGACUGGGAUAACUCCGGGAAACCGGAGCUAAUACCGGAUAGUUCCUUGAACCGCAUGGUUCAAGGAUGAAAGACGGUUUCGGCUGUCACUUACAGAUGGACCCGCGGCGCAUUAGCUAGUUGGUGGGGUAAUGGCUCACCAAGGCGACGAUGCGUAGCCGACCUGAGAGGGUGAUCGGCCACACUGGGACUGAGACACGGCCCACACUCCUACGGGAGGCAGCAGUAGGGAAUCUUCCGCAAUGGACGAAAGUCUGACGGAGCAACGCCGCGUGAGUGAUGAAGGUUUUCGGAUCGUAAAGCUCUGUUGUUAGGGAAGAACAAGUGCGAGAGUAACUGCUCGCACCUUGACGGUACCUAACCAGAAAGCCACGGCUAACUACGUGCCAGCAGCCGCGGUAAUACGUAGGUGGCAAGCGUUGUCCGGAAUUAUUGGGCGUAAAGGGCUCGCAGGCGGUUUCUUAAGUCUGAUGUGAAAGCCCCCGGCUCAACCGGGGAGGGUCAUUGGAAACUGGGAAACUUGAGUGCAGAAGAGGAGAGUGGAAUUCCACGUGUAGCGGUGAAAUGCGUAGAGAUGUGGAGGAACACCAGUGGCGAAGGCGACUCUCUGGUCUGUAACUGACGCUGAGGAGCGAAAGCGUGGGGAGCGAACAGGAUUAGAUACCCUGGUAGUCCACGCCGUAAACGAUGAGUGCUAAGUGUUAUGGGGUUUCCGCCCCUUAGUGCUGCAGCUAACGCAUUAAGCACUCCGCCUGGGGAGUACGGUCGCAAGACUGAAACUCAAAGGAAUUGACGGGGGCCCGCNCAAACCGGUGGAGCAUGUGGUUUUAAUU
RNAcentral lists this ribosomal RNA (926 nucleotides) under Bacillus zhangzhouensis. Its description in RNAcentral is "bacterial SSU rRNA". It matches the Rfam family "Bacterial small subunit ribosomal RNA", at positions 43 to 952 of the family's 1533-position model. Lineage: Bacteria; Bacillati; Bacillota; Bacilli; Caryophanales; Bacillaceae. The record is from RNAcentral.